Molecule: RNA transcript, 2221 nt
Organism: Cryptomeria japonica (Japanese cedar)
Lineage: Eukaryota; Viridiplantae; Streptophyta; Pinopsida; Cupressales; Cupressaceae
Gene name: leucine-rich repeat receptor protein kinase EMS1-like
Exons: 2
Source: RefSeq, a predicted model, not a curated record
UCUCGAUGGGCGUGUACCUUCCAAUCUCGUCUGACUGCAUCAGAAUGCAAUUUCAGUUUUCUCGCGUGAUGCAGCUAAAUUGUCUGCUCACUUGUGUUCAUACAGAGAACUGGAGAGGGCUUCAAGUCAUUCUCUAUGUAUUCAACUAGAGGUGGUCAAAGCCACAGAAAAAGAGCAACCGGUACGUGUGGCAGUCUAAUGAAAAUGUGUUGGUUAGCUGUAGCCUUUGUUCUGCUCUUCCACGUCAAUGGCGGGUGGUGUUGUCCCCGCCAUGAAAGAGACUCCCUUUUGCGUUUCAAGGCAUCUGUUCUUGAUCCAUCUCAUCAACUACUCAAGUCAUGGCAUGGUUUCAACUGUUGUGAGUGGAAUGGAAUCCAAUGCCAUCCUCACACACAUCAUGUCAUUCGUCUCGAUCUCCACACUUCCAGGCAUGCUUAUGAAGAUGGUGAUCAUCCUAAUGUCAAAAGGCCUCUGAGUAAUCUAACUGGGGAUGUUCUUUCCCCAUUGUUCAAUCUGGAACAGUUGGAGCACUUGGAUGUCAGUUGGAAUAACUUUUCUGCAGUUCCCAUCCCUCCUGGAUUGGCCAGACUCAAGAGUUUGCGCUACUCGGACUUAUCAUACGCUGGGUUUAGUGGAGAUAUUCCCAGGGAGCUGGGGAACAUGUCUACUUUGCACUACUUGGAUCUCUCUUACAAUGAUCUGAGGAUGGUGGACGUGCGGGCGUGGACGGGAAAUAUGAGAGAUUUACGGGAGCUCAUCCUGGACAAUGUGAACAUGUCAAGAGUGGAAAGCAAUGAGUUGGACAACGCUCUCUCCACCAUGUAUUCUCUCACCAGUCUUCGAAUGAUCUGGUGUCGGCUUUCUGGAGAAUUUCCCCCUUCCCUUGCCAACCUCACCAAUCUCACCCACCUCCAACUUAAUGAAAACGGAUUCAAUGGUAGCAUCCCUUCUGCCCUGCUGAGCCUUCCAAAGCUGCAACUACUGGACUUGUCCUGGAACAAGGAUCUGGGAGGGAACCUGUCAAGCAUUCUACCCCAGCAUCCCUUCACACCCUCGACCUUUCAGGCACAGCAGUGGGAGGAACCAUUCCAGACUCUGUUGCCAACAUUUCCUCGUUAACUGUCUUGUAUCUUGCAGGCUGCCGUGUUGAAAGUAUACCAAUUACUAUGGCAAAUCUCACAGCGCUUAGAGAAUUGGAUCUCGGUAAUAACAUGUUAAGAGGCCACAUCCCGCCGUUUGGGGAUAGACCUCAGUUGGGAAGACCUUAUCCUUUGGCCUAUAUUGAUCUAUCCCAAAACCAGUUGGAUGGUCCCAUUCCCCCAACGCUGUUGGCUGCAUUUCCGAAUCUCCAAUAUGUUGAUUUGAGUUACAAUCAAUUGAGUGACAGUAUUCCGUCCCCCGCCAGUACGCUUCACUACCUUGCAUGGCUUCAUCUGAGUUGCAAUGCAUUGACGGGUAAAAUCCCUUCAUUGGCUAAACUCCCGUCCCUUGUCCAACUUGGCCUGAGUGAUAACCAUUUGAGUGACAAAAUACCCCUUUCCAUUGGCCUACUCUCAUCUCUCGAAUUGCUUGAUCUAAGCAACAACAAUUUAGAAGGUGCCAUCCCUCUCGACAUUUCCAAUCUUCCUAAACUGAACAGCCUGUACCUGUACUCCAACCGGUUAAGUGGGACUUUUUCAGAGUCUUACCUUGAUAAUCUCAGCCAACUUGUCUAUUUAGACAUUUCCGAUAAUCUUUUAACUGCCAAGUUCAGUCCAACAUGGAUUCCAAGAUUCUCUUUGGAAAAGCUGGGAUUAAGGUCAUGUAACGUGGAAGGCGGUAUUCCAACAUUCCUAAUAACUCAAUAUUGGGUUCAAGAUGUGGAUUUGUCCAACUGCAGCCUUACAGGAAAUAUUCCCCAGUGGAUAUGGGGUGUCAAUUCUCUUCAGAAUCUCAAUCUUUCUCAUAAUCACUUUGCAGGAGUUCUACCUCAUUCGUUGAUGGGAAGUCGAUUGGGAAUUCUGGAUUUGCAUAGCAAUAAUUUACAAGGUGGUAUAGUCAAGAAUUUGUAUGGAUAAUAAGGAAUGCAAAAUCAUUGGGAAAUAUGAAAGGUGAAGUGCCCUGUCAGCAUUAAAAUUUUUAUCAUGUCAUUACAAGGUAGAAAUUAUAAACAAAUUUUAGCUUUCAUCUAAAUGUUAAUAAUGUAUCAAUUUUUUAAAAAAUAUAAAAAAUUGACAUCUUG